RNAcentral lists this ribosomal RNA (334 nucleotides) under uncultured Ruminococcus sp. RNAcentral's name for it is "bacterial SSU rRNA". It matches the Rfam family "Bacterial small subunit ribosomal RNA", at positions 1 to 339 of the family's 1533-position model. The record is from RNAcentral. Lineage: Bacteria; Bacillati; Bacillota; Clostridia; Eubacteriales; Oscillospiraceae.
AGUAGUUUGAUCAUGGCUCGAGGACGAACGCUGGCGGCACGCUUAACACAUGCAAGUCGAACGAGCGAAACCAGCUUGCUGGUCUAGCUAGUGGCGGACGGGUGAGUAACACGUGAGCAAUCUGCCUUUCGGAGAGGGAUACCAAUUGGAAACGAUUGUUAAUACCUCAUAACAUAACGAAGCCGCAUGACUUUGUUAUCAAAUGAAUUUCGCCGAAAGAUGAGCUCGCGUCUGAUUAGGUAGUUGGUGAGGUAACGGCCCACCAAGCCGACGAUCAGUAGCCGGACUGAGAGGUUGAACGGCCACAUUGGGACUGAGACACGGCCCAGACUCC